GUACGCCUACAAGCGGUCGAAGCCAGCAAUGGUGACGGCGUGCCUUUUGCAUAAUGAACCUACGAGUUACUCCUCACUGGCGAGGUUAAGUUCUUAUUUAACGGAGCCGAAGCGAAAGCGAGUCCAAAUAGGGCGAUUAGUCAGUGGGGGUAGACGCGAAACUUUGUGAUCUAUCCAUGGGCAGGUUGAAGGUGUAGUAACAUACACUGGAGGACCGAACUCGUUGACGUUGAAAAGUCUUGAGAUGACCUGUGGAUAGGGGUGAAAGGCCAAUCAAACUGAGAGAUAGCUCGUUCUCCCCGAAAUGUUUUUAGGAACAGCCUUGGCUAAAGAAGUAUGAUAGAGGUAGAGCUACUGAUUGGGCUAGGGGGCUUCAUCGCCUACCAAACCCUGACAAACUCCGAAUGCUAUCAUAUAUCGCCGGGAGUGAGGCUGUGGGCGCUAAGGUCCAUGGCCGAGAGGGAAAUAACCCAGAUUAGCAUCUAAGGUCCCCAAUACGUGGUUAAGUUGAUCAAACGAGGUGGGAUUUCUAUAACAGCCAGGAUGUUGGCUUGGAAGCAGCCAUUCAUUUAAAGAGUGCGUAACAGCUCACUGGUCGAGAGAUCCUGCACGGAAAAUAAUCGGGCAUCAAACCACGAACCGAAGAUCUAAAUUCUAGCUUGCUAGAGUGGUAGGGGAGCAUUGAAAUCUGCAUCGAAGGUGUGGCGCGAGCCAUGCUGGAGCGAUUUCAAAAGAAAAUGUAGGUAUAAGUAACGAUAAAAGUAGUGAAAAACUACUUCGCCGAAAGUCUAAGGUUUCCUGAUCAACGUUAAUCGGAUCAGGGUUAGUCUGGUCCUUAGGAAAACCCGAAAGGGACAUCUGAUGGAAAGCUAGUUAAUAUUCUAGCACCUACUAUGCAUUAAAAGUGACGCAGGGACGUGGUUGUUACGAACAGACGGAUGUUCGUUGAGUGGAACCUUCGGGGGAAGCGAAACAAUAAAAUCCCUGCCAAGAAAAGCGAGCAUAGCAGCCAGUACCGGAAUCCGACACAGGUAGACGGGAUGAGUAUUCUAAGGCGCUCGGGUGAGCCGCGGAGAAGGAACUAGGCAAAUUAAUGCUGUAACUUCGGGAUAAAGCGUACCGCAGUGAUGCGGUCACAGUAAAUAGGUACAACCAACUGUUUAACAAAAACACAGGGCCCUGCAAAAUCGAAAGAUGACGUAUAGAGCCUGAUACCUGCCCGGUGCUGGAAGGUUAAGGAAGGGUGUUCGACGCAAGUCAAAGCUCCUGACUGAAGCCCCAGUAAACGGCGGCCGUAACUAUAACGGUCCUAAGGUAGCGAAAUUCCUUGUCGGGUAAGUUCCGACCUGCACGAAUGGUCUAAUGAGUUGUACACUGUCUCCUCCGCGAGCCCGGUGAAAUUGUAGUAUCGGUGAAGAUGCCGGUUACCCGCCACGGGACGGAAAGACCCCGUGAACCUUCACUACAACUUUGCAUUGAUUUUGAACAACCGAUGUGUAGGAUAGUUGGGAGACUUUGAAGUGGCAUCGCCAGGUGUCAUGGAGUCAUCGUUGAAAUACCAACCUUCGUUUGUUUAGAACCUAAUCCCUAACGGGAGACAGUGCAUGGUGGGUAGUUUGACUGGGGUGGUCGCCUCCUAAAAAGUAACGGAGGCUCGCAAAGGUACCCUCAGUACGGUUGGUAAUCGUACGUAGAGCGCAUUAGUAAAAGGGUGCUUGACUGUGAGACAAACAAGUCGAGCAGGAGCGAAAGCUGGCUAAAGUGAUCCGGUGAUUCUGCAUGGAAGGGUCAUCGCUCAAAGGAUAAAAGGUACUCCGGGGAUAACAGGCUGAUCUUACCCAAGAGCUCAUAUCGACGGUAAGGUUUGGCACCUCGAUGUCGGUUCGUCACAUCCUGGGGCUGGAGAAGGUCCCAAGGGUUCGGCUGUUCGCCGAUUAAAGUGGCACGUGAACUGGGUUCAGAACGUCGCAAGACAGUUCGGUCCCUAUCUGUGGUGGGCGUUAGUAAAUUGAGUGGACAUGCUCUUAGUACGAGAGGACCGGAGCGUACGUACCGCUGGUGUAUCUGUUAUGCCGCCAGGUGUAAUGCAGAGUAGCUAUGUACGGCCAGGAUAAACGCUGAAAGCAUCUAAGCGUGAAACCUUCCACAAGAUGAGUUUACUUUUAAGGGUCGUCAAAGACUAUGACGUUGAUAGGCUAUAGAUGUAAGGCUAGUAAUAGC
Molecule: ribosomal RNA, 2220 nt
Filed under: wastewater metagenome
Description: bacterial LSU rRNA
Rfam family: Bacterial large subunit ribosomal RNA
Source: RNAcentral